Long non-coding RNA from Gasterosteus aculeatus aculeatus (three-spined stickleback), 16815 nucleotides. NCBI's taxonomy places the organism in Eukaryota, Metazoa, Chordata, Actinopteri, Perciformes, Gasterosteidae. The record is from Ensembl.
CCGGCUUCCUCCCACAGUCCAAAGACAUGCUCUGGGGGAUCAGGUUAAUUGGGGACUCUAAAUUGCCCGUUGCUGUGUGAAUGUGAGUGUGAAUGGUUGUAUGUCUCUGUGUAGCCCUGCGAUUGGCUGGCGACCAAUCCAGGAUGUACCCUGUCUAUCGCCCGAAGUUGGCUGGGAUGGACUCCAGCCCCCCCGCGACCCUGUGUGCAGGAUAAGCAGUUUGACAAUGGAUGGAUGGUUUGCAAUCUGGACUGCGUGGUAUUGCAGACAUUGGUAGGGUUACAGGAGUGCCACUUUCUAUGGCUAUCAAUAUCUUUUGGUUUACAACAGUAUUUCCCAAACAACAGCCACCCAUAAGGGAAAAAAAGACACGAGACCCUUUAUCUUCCAAGGGGGCCCUGACAGAAAAAAGUUUCGAAACCACUGGUUUGAGAUAAUUUGAAGCGUAGAGCCAGUUUGUGAUUGGCCUCAUGUAGUUGCAGCUUAAUCAUAUAGUGCAACCUGAACUCUGAGGUAAGUCAUUACUUACUAUUGUUAGUUUUACAUUAAAUUCCUUUCUACUUCAAGAUCAAUUUAAUUAUGUUUUGUAUAGCCUCAAAUCAGAUAUUACGAUUGCAACAUAGUACAAAAAGAAUCAUAAUUCUACAGUAAGCGCAGUAAUUACACUAAUAAUUGUGGAAUAAAUUAUACAAAUAAGCAGGUAUGGCAGCAUUCAUAAUGAGAGAUUUGACUAAAAUAUUAGCAAAUGUACAAUAGUUGAAUGCCUUCUUAGGCUGAAACGUUAAUUUUUUUUGCUAAAAAUAUAAAGUAUUGAACCAGUUGGCGUACGAGUGACACAACGAGUCCUUGUGUGCGAUCAGAAAGCGCUGAAUUUGUGUGUGUCAAUUGUGCGCCCUGUGGUCUGACCGCUAUGUAAACACAACCAAGUGUGCUGUGAAGUAGUGGCGUAAUAAAACCAGUGUGAGACCACUUUUGGUGGGCAAGAGUCACAGCACAUCCACUCAGGAGACAUCGUGUUAAAGACUGCUUUAGAAGUGUCCUUGUUUUUAAGUCAUAAAAAUUGUUAUGGACUUCUUUUUGUACCAGAUAUCAUAUGUACCUGUUGAUUUCACCAUACUUAGAGCUUUUAUUUUUUUGAUCACUAUACUGAGAUAGUUAUGAUUAAUUUCCCCCGACAGCUUUUCAUAUACCAGCAGUCACCCGUGCUUGAGGAGUCUUAUGAAAAGCCCAUGAGGAACACUGAGUCUUACCUUUUUUAUUUGUAUCCUACCACAGCUACCCGUUCCAUGUUAUCAUUUAAAUUGCUUUCUCGCUUCAGGCCCAGAGAAGAGCAGUAAUGUCAUUGUGUGAUGACAAACAAACAAUGCCUCUACCAUAUUUUGAUUCCUAUCUUCUUUGGACAAAAUUGCAGAAAACUGCAUAUUAAAUAAUUGUGGCUCAGACAACCUCCAGCACACAGAGAGAUUGAUUGGAAAUGUGACAUUGUGCCGCUAACAAAAGUCAGUCCCUCAAAGGCGUGGCGCUCUUUGCCUUCGCUCUCUGUGAGCACAUUUGUGGUUUAAGCAGCAUGUACCCAUCAAAUUAAACCUCCCCUCACAUUUCAGCAAAUUCUUGUCUCCGAACGUAUACCACAGGGCUGACGGACAGCACUGUGGCCGAAUCGCUUCCUCAGCUGUGGAGGUCUGCUCUAGUGAGUAAUAAUGAUCUGUGUACCAUCAGCCAUUGUUCGCUUUACUUCCACACUGCCUUGCAGAAACCAAUAUUACUUAGAAAAAUAAUUGUUUCUCAACCUUUAUAACAUUUGAUUUACCAAAAGGUGUUACGGCCUGCCUAUCGUGCCUAGGGGGGCACAGGCGUAACACACAAAGGUAGCCUUGCAAAGGUGGAACGACGGAGAAAAACAAGGCGUGAGCGAGGUUAGCACAACAGUGUCUGCGUUUUGAGCGCUCACAUUAAAGGGGACGGCUAGCCGUGACACUGGGCUUGUCCAAAAUAUCUGCAGUCUCUUCAAAUCUUUUUCUUAUUCUUUGUACUUGACGCUAAGCCACCUCAGCAGUGGAUCUGGUCUUCAGCAUCUUGAUAAUCAACGCUUUGAUCUCAGGGUCAAUCCUGGGCAUGCUGUCUGAGGUCAAGUUGCGGUUAAUGUGAAGGGUAUCGUGUGCUGGGGUUCUUUUUAUACACACCCACUAAUUAAUUGAUCAAUUAUUGAUCACAGGUGAGGCUGUAAUCCAGGAUUGGGUGCAUCAUAUGACAAGGAGACAAGACUUUUGUCUUUGCAAAAACUGACUCAGUGGGCUUUACCAAGCUGUGAACGUUAGAACGCUUUUCAGUAGUUUCGUUUGGCACCAAAACAUUUCAAAAGAUGUUUAGAUUGAAAUUAGCCCCAAAAAUGUGUUACAAAUAUAUUUGAGGGGCACUUAAGUUCAACUUGUGACUUUUGUCAGGGAAUAUGUAUGUAUAUAGGAUUCCUGAACAUUCAAAUCCUUCUUCUUCCUCAAUCUUUCAGCUACAGCCACUAUUUCAAAAUGUUGACAACACCCACAACGAUUUUUGAUAUCUAUUCAACUUUUUUUAAUAUAACUGAUUAUGCAAACUCAAGUGUUCCAGACUGUUUGAGAUUUACAUGCGUGUGUACGUGGCAUGUUGGAGUGGACAGCUUCAGAAUCUGGUUCAAAAAUAGAUUUUUACCAGAUAUUUUGACCAGCAUUGCCACACAUUUCCACUCUUCUAGCUUAAUUUUUUAAAGAGUAGAAAAUACAUUUUGUGAAUGUGAAUCCGACAUGUGUGAAAUCCAACAUACUUCCCAUUUGUAGCUGACGUGGAGAGUGCACUAACCAUCUCCAAAUGGAGCUGAUUGAACUCUAAUGUAGUGACACACUCAAGGCAAAGAAUGACUCUGUGGGCACUGCAGUUUCCACGUUCCCAGCUACAAUGCCCCAAUACUUAAGCUGCUCAACUGUGGGAAUGUUUCCUUUUUGCACUUUGUUACGAAUGAAUGCAACAGGUUUUCCUUUGAUCAAUGUUUUUAAUGCGCUUGACUUACACCCAUUUUGGCCCAAAUUGUAUUUGAGUUUGGCACCUCUGAUUUCGAGAGAAGCUCUUAUCAUGGCGGCCACUUGUUGCGGGUCAUUUCACUCAGUUAACAACUUUCCUAAGCAAAUUUGACAAUUUCAAUCCAGCCAAAGACUGGAAAUGAAAAAUGUGGAGGGUCUCUUUGGGGCACCUGAACUGGGAUACGCCAGUCUGUGUGUCAAGGCUGGGUAGUCGACCCGGCACACAGAGAUUCACACAGGACACUGACACCUCAGUAGAAGUAAUUUUAUUGAGUGCAGGACUCCAAGGGACGGGGAUAGCCAAGGCUGAGCCCGGGGUUCUGGGGACGAAGAUACAAACACACAGGAUGGGGAGAAACGGCAGCUGACCCAUAACACUGUGUGGUUUAACUGCUGAUGGCUGUAUUCAAUUAAAUAUUUUAGUGUGACUGCACUGGGUUUUGUUACAAAAUAAACAUUUUGAUUUUAAUUUAACCCUAACCCAACCCCUCACGUAUCCAUCCCUAAAACCUUAGCUGUCUACAGCCCUGCUGCGCUUCCACUGCAAUGGCAGAUCCGCAGGAUGAUAUAUUUCCACUUAAAUGGAGCCUCGUGACUUGAUUGCACAUCUCGGGCAGACCAUAAGAUUGGAACAUAAUCAUUUAACACUGACUGGGAGUGUUGACCUACUGCACACAGCAAGAAUACCUAUAAAAUAGUCAGUCAGUCAUUAAUCUUCUAUAUCGUUUAUAUAGAGUGUUGUAGGGGGACUGGAGUCAAUCCUAGCAAACAUCGAGCAAGAGAACGGCUACACCCUGGACUGGUUGCCAGUUAAUCAGGGCUGCCUGUUGUACAUUCAAAUUAUACAACAAAUCAUCGAUAGUCAUACAUUGGAGAAGUUGAUAACUGUGCUGGAUAAGUGUCCAACGUUUUUGAGAAUCAAAUAUCUACUUAAAUGAUGCAAAGAGUAAGCGAAACAUAAUCAAUGUUUGAAGUUCAAAACUCAAAAUUCCUCAGAGUUCAAACCCCCAAAAAACGUUGUGUUACAGUAGCGGUUUUUAUUUGAUGUUGACGUGUCAAUUUGUGUCAGCGUCAAUGAGCUGAUUGGCCCUGAAACUGACACAUUGCUCUUAAGGGAAGGUGGUCAUUUCUCUGUCAUAUUGUGACUGAUUUUAGCUUUGAAAUAUGUCACUGUUCCAUCACAAGAUUUUUGACAGGGGAGUUUGAUGUGUGUUCCCAUAGCCUGGCGGACAAGCAGAAAUCUAGCAACAAUUCCAUAAUACUUGCGCUUUUGAUUGUUUGUUGCAGAUGCUAUGGAUGUUGUAAAUUGUCAUGAAAUACGAUGUUAUGUAUGGAUGAAGUAAGAGUAUGAUAACAGAUGGUAUUAAAGAUAUUCAUUACACAAAACCUCAAACCUAAGACAAGGUUAUGUAGAUAAUUUGGGCUCAUAAACCCCAUUUAAGGGACUAUACAGUGAAAUUAAUAUUGGAUUUCUCCAAAGGCCGCCUGAACAGCAUUUUAUGGAGGAGCAUUUUAAAAGCUAAUGUUCCGCUGGGGACAUGUAACUGAGUUACAAUUGUCAGCACACUAAUAAAUUUAGUAGUGGUGAUAACAAAUUAGAUGAUUCCCAAUUGGUUAUUGGUGUCAUUGCUCUCACCUGGAAGAGAGGGCAAACAGGGUGAGUUUCAUCACAACACUAAUACAAAAGGGGGCAGGGAGGGCGGCAACCAGGUAGAGGAGGCGUAAGGAAGGGCUGCACAGUAUUGUUUUUCAAGUUUCAAACACAGUCAUUCUGUUGUGGUUGUGAGGGAGAGAGAACUCAAACGCAAAGCAAGGUAAAGUCUCUUUUGAUAAACUCUGGAAGGCCGAGGCAAAAAUAGACCUCAGAGGUUUAGCAACGAUACAGUACUAGUUCAACACGAACCGGCAGGGCAGGGUAGGGCAGGGCAGGGCAGGGCAGGGGGUACGGGACAGUAAGCUCAGGCACGUAUAGUGCAGAUUAUGCUCUGGCGGAGAACAAAGGGAAGAGGCCGACUAGAAAUAGAGCUUCUAAUUAGAGGAAGCAGGAACAGGUGAGGGAAAGAGGAUGAUGAGAGAAUGAGAAGCAUCUGGGAGUGAAUGAGCGGGUGUAAGUGAAAGGAGGGUGUGUGUGUGUGUGUGUGUGUGUAAAUGACACGAAAGAGGUGUAAAGGAAAAAGAAGAGGAAGGUACCCGGUUCAUGACAAAUUUAUUGACCCGGGAAAGGACCGCGGCUACCCGAACAGCUGUUCGGCUUUCUGAUCUAACGUAACUUACCAAAAACCCUCCAAACAGACACAGCUCCUCGUUUGGGCACAAGUUGUGUUGGUGCAUCUCUGGUCUCUUGUUGUUCCUCCUGUAUCGCUCUUUUCCGUGUUUUCAUGUAGCAACAGAGUUAACGUUACUUCUUGUUGUGAGCUGUACCCAGCAUGCAGUUUGGCGUGUGUGUUGGCCCUGUAACUGAAAAAAGUAGCGAACGGACUGUCAAAAACCGUUGGCGGUCAGCGGUAGAUUUUUGUCUUUAAUACAACUGCCUAAAAAUUACAGUGGUUCUCUGUUACACUCAUUUCGAAUAAAAUGACUUCACUUCUUACACUGAAUUAUGGACAUUUUAUUCAAUUUACACCUCUGAUAUUCCUGCCAGUUUGACCCGCUAUGUAAAUGAGGUCUGUUUACCAUAUUCCAAAAAAAAGUGUGAAAUAGGUGGUACUUAGUAGGAGUUGGUGCCAAAAAAGGAACCGUAAAAUUAAAAGUAGCAAUAGAAAACUAGAAGAACUACUAGAAAACACAGUGAACUGAAAAAGUUAGUUUUAUUAAAAAUACUGUCCCCCCCCACUUUGUGUUGGCACCUUCGUGGUAAGCCCCCACACAAUUUUGUCCCUGGUAACGUGAGUAUUUGUAAUUUAUUACUUCCACCCCUGAUGGUGACCACCACAGAAAGUGCGUCCCGAAGCGAAGGUAGAUAUCUGAUCAUGUAGACAAGACUGCAGUGAGACACCAGGGCCAGCAACACAUUACUCUGCGCCACCUCAGGGACAUGUGGCUGCUCCUGAGAUGGUUGACGUUCCCACUAAGAAUAGAGGCUUCCCAUUUGCGUUACAUCAUUUAAACAUUACAUAAUGUACUGCAAUACAUUGUUGUCUCUGCAUAUUAAUUUGAACAAUUUUCCAGUAAUUUUUAUUAUUCUUUCAAAUCACAGCGAUGCAGCAAAGAAGACAUUUUAAGCCAGCACGCAACUGGAAAGUCAUUAGAUCUCACCACAGAUCUGGGAGACAUGACAAUGCUUUCUUUUUAUAAGAUGGUCAGUGGGUUUUGCCCCUUGACAUGCACACUUAUGGGGAAAAUUGGUUAUACACAUAACACUAAAGAUAGAAAGUAUCAUAUUAAUAUAACUGAUCAAACUGUGUAUUUUGAUUUUUUUGAGAACCAGCAACUCCAUCGGUGUUGCAACCAUCAUGUCCAAACUUGUCAGGUUUUAAGUUAAAUUCAGGCAAUUGAAUAUUCUCUUUGACUACUGGUUGUGAGCUUUUGAGCUGAUAACAAAUCUGUCUACUUACCCAGGGAAUAAGUAAAACAUUAAAAAACAGCAAGGACCACGCCACCAACCGCCAAGACAAAUUCCUUGUAUGUUUGACAUAUUUUGGUAAUAAAUGUUUCCUAAUUCCGGAACUGAAUACGUUUAACAAUUUCAUUUGCUAGACAAGAGCGUUAGGAUUGUAAGUUACAUUACAGGUCAUUUAGCUGACGCUUUUAUCCAAAGCGACUUACAUUGUAUUGUUUUUAAACCGUGGCUUUUACAUUUUUGCCCGGGGGAGCAAUUAGGGGUUUGGUGUCGUGCUGAGGGACACUUCGGCAUGGGACAUGGGGCAGCCUGGACUCGAACUAUCAAUCUUGCGUAUUUUAUUUUUCUAUCAAGCUUUUGUUUCUUUUCAUUUAAAGUAAAACAGACUAACUCAAUGGAUCAGUCAUUAUACAGUUGAUAAGAAGAUGAUGAAGAAGAGGAGCUGUAGUCCCGGCAUCCCGGUGCUGCUAUCUCCAACUAAUUAUAAUUACUCAUAAGUAUGUAGUUAUGGCCCCAAGUUGGGAUAGACUCCAGCCCCCCCAACCAUGUGUGCAGGAUAAGCGAUUUGCGGAUGAAUGGAUAAGUAUGCAGUGUCAUAUAUACAGGGUGGGGAUUUUAACAUGCAGCAUUUCUUGAUGCACUGUAAAAACUGGGAUUGGCGUUAAUUAAUAUCUACAUAAUAAAAAAGACUAAGUACAGUUUGGAAUUUUAUUGAGCUAAAUUUAACAAAUGUUUACGGCAUAUCCCUGCUCGUCGUUUUGUAAGUAACUUUAACAUGGCAAGCUGAAGAUCUGCUAAAACCUGACAUUAUACUAAGCUAUAGUGUGUUGAUGUGUGUUGUGCACGCUGUGGCCGGUGUCUUGCUGACUAUUACAAGUUCACCGGCGUUAGUAACGUAACAUUAGUCACACAGUCCUCACGUUCCCGGUGCUGAGAGCCAGCAGGAGAUCCAGACCGCCAUCUUUCUGUGUUCUCUAUCGUAGUGACGUUGUGGAUUCGAUGGUCUCCUCCCGGCCUGACGUCACACCGCACUGCCUGUGAACGCUGGUUUCAGAUCAGUUAUUAUGAGCUGCUCCACAGUAAUAUGCAUGUUAUAACGCUGUGUUCACACGCAUGGGAUAUUUCAGGUUAUUUUGUGUGACUCUGCGUCAGCUAAAUGACAUGUAAUGUAUUACGUCGGGAAGCACGUGAGGCGAAUUGUUCGAGUCACUCGUUAUUUGCGUCAGUGCAUUGACUUAGUUUGUAAACUACUGUGUGAACACAGCAUAAAGAACCAUGUGUACACUUGUAAUAUGUGUUGCUCUGAACCAGAUUUCAUUAUUUGUCUUACAGAUCCAGGAUGAGUUUCCCUGAAGCACAACGUGCAGCUUGUAUCAAAGUUCCUGACCGAGCAGGAGAACCCACUCUCAAUCUCCCCAACCUCUUACUCAAAGUGCAGCCAUGGAGCCAAGGAUGAAAGCAUCCCACUCAAGGUUUUAUUUUAUGAUUUAAAACAAUGAAAUAUCAUUUGCUUAUCACUUACAUCUUCCAGAGGCAAUGUUUACGUUGCAUUUUAAGUGUCAUCUAACAGCAUGCAUUUUAGUUUCUAUAAAGUUGACACUUUUUUCAGGUACAUCAUUAUUCAAAGGAAGCUGCCUCCACAGCAGGGGUCGCCACACCCUUCCCCUUAAGACGGAGUCCCCACAGGGAUCACCGCAAACUCCACAAAAAAAAACAUAACUACUACCUCACCACCCUCUACAUUAAAACUACGCCCCACCUCUGCAACCAGGUACCUUUAAAUAGAGAGAUGAGAACAGAGGAAAGUAUGACGGUUACAUUUCAUAAUCACAAUAUCAACCCUCACCACUACAAUUCAGACCAUUUAACCCAAAAACAUCUGCCAUUAUAUUGUCCUUGCCUUUAAUGUGUCUGACAUCUAAAUUUAUGACUUUGCAGAAACAAAGUCCAUCGCAUCAGACGCUGGUUUGGUCAGGUCUCUGUAGAUCGUGGUUCCUUCGGGACCCUGGUCCUGACACCUACCGUGGCCAUGCUGACGCCUGCUGCUGCCAUCAUCAUCAUCAUCAUUAUUUUUGAUAUUAAUCAUAUUACUUUACUCAUAAACCGACAUUACCCUCUCCUAAAAUCUCUGUGCUCUCCCUCCCCACAGGAUUCUGUGGAUGGUGGUUCUAUCUGAUGGUGGUUGCCUCUGCAGUGGUCCUGCUGUGCGCCUGGCUUACUACUCACAAUUACUUGAAUCAUUUCUGUCAUAGGAAUUGCAUGUAUUAUACAUUGUUCAUUCUGUACACAUGGCAUCCAUUGUAGUCUGUCCAUCCCGGGAGUGGGAUCCCUCCUCUGACGUUCUCCCUAAGGUUUCUUCCCUUUUUUCCCUGUUGGAGGGUUUUUUCAUUUUUUGGGGAGUUUUUCCUGUGCCGAUGGUGGGUUUCGGGGCAGAGGAUGUUGUAUGUGUACAGACUGUAAAGCCCUCUGAGGCAAAUUUGUAAUUUGCGAUUCUGGGCUAUACAAAAUAAAAUGAAUUGACUUGACUUGACUUGGUUUGGGGAGUGCAGCGAACUGAAAAAUGUCAAUGGGUUUUGAUCGGUAUACACAACUACUGGUUUUCCCCCAGUGCCGACAUAAACUUCAUUAAGCGCCAGUGUUUCCUUCUCUAUUGUUGAAUAGUUGCUCUGACAUGAAUUGAACUUCUUUGAGAAGUGGCUGAGGAACUUCAAGGGACCUGAAGGGGAACGGGAUCCAAGGAAGGCUCGCCGCCUAGCUUUGUGCUCCGGAGGAACUGAGGCUAAUUGCCUUCGUGAACACGACUACAUCUGAGUUGAUUUGUAUAUAUGUUUUUGUUCCUUGUGACUGAUUUGUUUUCAUGUCACCAUAAAGAACUGUUGUACAAACUGCAUACCCUGUGUUGAAUUUACAACAUGACAUUUAUUUUCAUUUUAUCAACAAGUUUUUCGAACAGAGACCAAUAGCACUCUGCUCUCUCUGGAGCCCUUUCUCUCUCCUCUUCCCUUGCCACCUGCUCCCUCUCCUCAUCGCUCUUUGAGGAACUCCAGAAUACCCUCUCAGUCCCUGGGCCUCUCCCUUGGCUGACCCCUGCUUCUUCUACAGCAAGGGUCAGCCAGAGGCAGAUGUGCUCACUGUGCCACCCGUAGUGGCAGUCACGUUUGCUGCAACAACCAGGGGCGGACUAAUUAAGUGCUGCCCCUGGAGUGCAGCAUCCAUGGCUGUGUACCACUGCCAGGUAGCAGCAGUGACACUACCGGCCUCUACCCCUUUCCCCGUUGGUGGGUCCCUAUGCUCCUCAAAGCAGGUUAUUACUUAUUUCACUGCAAAGCUGAAAGAAAGUGUACACCAUUUCAGAGAACACAUUCUCGUGCAUGGGUUGAAUACCUGGCUUUGAUAACUAUAAGUAGUUUAUUUAAGGGGAAUCGGACUCUCAUAGUCCAUAAUACAAAGUGGAGAUUAUCUUUUAUCUCGUUUUAAGGUUUGUCCACUUCUUCCUGGCCUGUUUGGCAGAUACUACCAGAAGUGAACAAAAUGGUGCCCGUGGGACACUUGAAUAGAGGGAUAAAUUACUGGCCAAUGAGUAAUAGUACUAUUAAAUUCAGUAUUAAAACUUAAAAAUUGUAAUAUGAUGUAAGGUAUUUAGGUGUAGUUGCCAUAUUUCAGGAAUCAGGAAACAUUUAUUUACCAAAAUUUACCAUUUCAUGUUUUUACAUAGCAUUUAUUAUCUAUCAGUCGCUUGUAUACUAGCAGGUGAGACAGGAAAGUGACUGUAAUAAUCGUUAUAUUUCUCAUAAUCAUUAUAAUAAUAUAAAUAAAUUACAAUAAGAGGGAAGAGAGCAGAGAAGACAAAGGAUCAGACGCUUAGGUUUGGAGCAGCAGAGAUGACUGCAGUCAUAAUGGGGAAAUCAGACCGCUGGAUAUAAUAUGUGUGUGGGGAAAAACCACGGCACUCUAACCGGAUUCUGAUCCCUUACUGGAAAUGUUUGUGAGAACCUAAGCGAUUGUGGCUGCCUGAUACAGACGUAGUGGAGCUCCUUUUCUACCUCAAAUGUUAGGGAGACAAACCAAGGAACCAAUCUACACAGAAAAAGGAUGACACUAUUUUUUUAUUUUUUUACAGCAGAUGUUUAAGAUGUGCUCUUUGACUUCAGUGUAGUUCUGUACUGUUGUGUGAGUGUGUGUUGGCACCUUUGUGGUAAGCCCCCUGAAAUACCGUGUGAGGAUUACAGGUACUACAACCCCAAAGGACAACUUGGAAAUAGAAAUCCAAUCAAAAUUCUUUACUUGUGUUUAGUCUGGGUCAAAACUGGGAUAUCAGUCCAACAGGCAAAAAAAUCCAGAGGUGCAGGCAGGGAAUCCGUAGAAAAGAAGAGGCGGGGGUCAGAACCAGGAUGGCAUUCAGACAGGCAAACAGAUCCGAAAAGGAGCAGACAGAGAAUUCCAGGUCAAAAGGCAGGCUAGGUCCGAACGAUUCUAGGUCAGAAUUGGGCAAGGAUAUCAGUAGGGGAGAACGGGGUAAUGUGAGACACCCGCUGUAUCUAGGGCGGAACACAUUUAUUGUCAUGUGACCAUUAUGUUUUCAAGAGCCCUCCCAUUUCCCUCUUGCCAUGAAGAAGAUGUUUUUCACAAAAAUGUGUUUUUUGCAUGUAAAAGUACAUUUUCUUGCUGUAAACAUAAUCAACUGUUGUGUCAAAACAAAUGAUUGUGAAUGAUUCCGGUAGAAAAAUCUAUAUCAUACAUGUCAAUGAACUUCCAACACAUAAAACCAUGUGAUUAAUGCUAGCUGAAGAUUAGUCUUAAUUGAUUGAAGAGAUGUUGUUUUUUCUAAAUUGGUGGCGGUGGGCCAACGGUAUUGGUCUGCUCACCCUUCCACCCCACACAUGCCAUCGCAUGCAGCCUAUCGAUGUGACCGUGUAUGGGCCCUUCAAGACCCUAUACAGCCGAGCUCUUGAUGGAUGGGUGAGAUCUAUCCCUGGCAAAACAGGACUUGUGAAUGAGGCCUUCUUGUCAGCAGUACACCACGGAAUAUCAUUUCUGGAUUCAAAGCCACUGGGAUUUUCCCAUUUAACCGAGAUAUUUUUCCUGAGGAAGCGUUCGCACCAUCCAUGGUGUCAGACCGGCCAAAUCCGUACCCCCCUGUCGACCGUACCGUUCGCCUGUCGAACCAUCAGCGCCUACACCCCCCCCCCCCCGUCAACGGUAAUGGUCUGGCCCGUGUUAGGUCGAAGUGGGCUGCAUCUGGCCCGCACCUGAUUUGAGUUUGAGACCCCUGAUGUCCACUCCCUGCAGAUCCACCCACUGAUGCUAAUCCAUCCACCUAUCAUGUUCACAUUGAUGUGCCUCUCCUGCUGACUCAGAUGUGCCAUGUCCCAGCCAACCUGGAUAUGUGUCUCCUCGUGAAAUCCUACCACAUCUGAUCAUGGUCCCAUGACUGUUCUAAUCUAACUGGUUCUAUCUGUAAUUAAUUAAAACAUUUUGAAUUAUACUAUGUUGUAUAUGAUUUUGUCCAGAGUUACUUCCAAUGUUUAAAUAAAUGUGCUUAAUUGACCAAUCGCCAUGAUUCUGUUACUAGUCUGAUAUUAGUUUUGGAAUGUGUGGUUGUCAAUCUAGCGGUCAAGAUUUUAACUAUUAAAACAUAUGUUGUUAUGCUAGUUUUAAAGUGGAAAAGGUAAGUGGAUCAGUUUACCCCCAGCUGGUUCACUUUACCCCCUUGAUUUAUCUGGUCUGUCUCACUUUACCCCUAAGCUCGGGUAAAGUGAGACCUUUUUUAAAAACAAUCUUUUUCACUGCCCUUUGUUCUGAAGACAUUCUGAUAAUUUCCAUUGCUAGGAAAUGUGGUGGAAAUUUGUGGAUUAAGCCCAUGUGAGAAAUCAAAAGUAUCUUGAACUCGCUUCGUGAUUUGUGCAGUAUCGAAAAAUGCUAAACAAUACAGAAAUCAUCAACUCAAGCCGUAAGUACAGACAGAAGUCAAAUGACUACAAUUCAGCUGAAAAGGGGCAGAUUGUUCUUUCUCCCUCAGAGGAGCUAAAAGAUCUGACCAAGCUUCUGGGGAGAACAGGAGCUUUUAUACACUUCUGAGAGGUUUGUGUUGAGGAAACCAGAAGACCCCCCUGCAAAAGGAAGAUGUCGUUGGGAGACGCCCGUGACCCUCCCCUAAUGGGACCUAGUCAAUCAUAUUUGACAGACAGAGAAAACACGAUAUGGAUCAGUCAAGGCACCUUUCUUCCAAACAGGAUGCCAUCGUGAACUAGGUCAGGUCACGAGUUGCCCGCACACUGUCUCAUGCACUGUCUCAUGCACUGUCUCACACACUGUCUCUCAUACUGUCCAUGUCUGUACAGUCUUGCGAUGCAGACAACAUCUGGAAAACCUCUGCAUGUGGUGAUCAGUUCUGUUGGUUUAUUUGGCACUUAAUAAACUUCUAUUCCAUGUUUUUCUGUCCAAAUUGAUGAAAUGUUUGAUUAUGAGUAACCGAUAUAUACUGAUUCAUCCAUACACAUUCACACACACAUAAUAAAACUCCUAGUUCUAUAUGGUCACUCUUUGGGCUUGUCAUCUACAUAUUCUGAAAGAGUUCAGAUAACUAUUCUCAUUGGAUCAUGAUGCAUUUGAUGAAGCCUCAUGCAAGCAGGCACAUUUAAAGAAAUGUACCCUGAUUCAUUAAUGAUGAGGCACUUACAUUUUCCCAACACACAUUCAGCUUUUCUGCGAUACUUUGUCGGGCUUGUAGCCCUCACAGGGGGGCGGCGGCAGUCUUUGCCGUGAUUAUUUGACUCAAUUAAUUUUAGUUUAUAUAGCACAAUCGCAAAUUUGCCUGAGAGGGCUUCACAGUCUGUACACACCUCUGUCCUGAAUCCCUCACAUCGGUGCAGGAAAAAAGAAAAAAGCAUUCGUUGGGGAGAAUAACGGGAAGAAACCUUAAGAGAAACAGGAGGAUCCACCCCCGGAUGGAUCUUCCUGUUUCAUGGACUGCGAUGGACGCAGAUGGACGUACAGAUUGAACAACGCGAACGAUGUGCAAUACAUUCAAUUCAUCCAACAGAAAUGAUUUAAAUACACAUUAUCUCCUUAAAUGCGUUCAUGAUCAUCUCCUGCUCUUCAGAGGAGAAAAAGACACUCUUCUUUAAGUAUAUUUGCCGUUGUACCGUUAAAAAUCGGGGAUCGACUCUUCCGCCUUCUAACGUAGGAUGCGCACGCGCGAUUAUCCUGAUGACUCAAACUAACGAGACCUUUUGCGAGUAAGAUCAGCCUUUGAAGAACCGAGAGCCUGAUGUCAAUCAUCUCGUUAAUUUGAGCUGGAUAAAUGGACAUUUGAUCGACUUAGUUGAACAACGUAUGAAGAACAGGGCCCUGGAGUUGUCUUGUGGGUCUUGUGUACUCUGCAUGUCCCACAAGACUGCUUUCAAUCUCAUGCUUGAUGUUUGCUCAAUCGUCAAGGUACUAUUGCCAUUAAAAGCAAACAGAGGUUUUCGAGUUUAGGCACAGACUAUGCAUACAACUACACAUACAUAGUGUGUAUAGUAUUGUAGCAACUCUCGCUACUGAAGUUCUGGACAACGCAUUCUUAGGAUUUUAUUGUUGGCCGUAGCCUGCGCUGAAACAAAACAACUGCUUUCAAUCACAAGAACUCUGACAACGCUCCUGCGUCCCGUUACUUUAACCCACCCACAAACAUCACAACAACACAUAGGUGGCACUAGGAUGCUUGACAUGCACAUCGUGAGCCCUUCACCGACCUUCUAAAUAAGAGUUUAUUAACUGACUAAUCAGAUCACAACUUUUUGAAAUAACAACUACUAUAGUCUUCUAUCUAUACAGCAAAUUAAGCUAACUACACUGCGCAGUGGGAUAGCGAUAGCAAUUGUUCUUUACACCACGUGUGUCCUAGCUAGCUGACUUCUGCCAGCCUGGAGUUUUGAGGGUCUCUGGUGACGUUAAGGGGACCCCCGGCGUUAGGGGGUGUGUAUACCAUGUUAAGGGGUCAGACGCCGUCUGCUGGCCAGAUUGGCACGGUACACAUACUAACUUUGGCUUAGUGCAUUAUUUCCCACACCAGUUUGUGUGAGUAUUUACAGACCCUCGCAGUGAGACUGUAUAUUCUUAAAUAUUAAAAGUCUGCGUGUGUGUUUACCUUUUUGAUUUGACCUAAGAUAUUUUUUAAGCUGCACUUAUCAAUAUGUUUAUACAAGCAUGUUUUCAAGUGUGCUGUGAAAGGUUUCAGUCAUCGACCAUAUGUUGCCUCUUCUAAAUGUUCGUGAUUUUUAGCCCUUUGUUUUAUUUUGACAACCUUUAUCAUUCAUUUUAGUUCAGUAUUACUUCCCUCACUAACUCCGUUUCUGAAGCAGCAGCAAUUAGAGAAAACGGUUUAGUAAGCUCCCCACUCAUCACCAACACACCUAAUAGAAAUGGUUUAGCAACCAGCUAAGCAGGAGUUUGUCUGAGACUCCAGAUUAAUUUGUAAGUUGCUCUUUGUCUGAUGGAGGAGUAACUGUGUCAUACAAAUUAUUUCUCGGCACCGGUGUAAAAUCAUUUAAAAGCAAGUAUGAGAUAGAAUUGACACGCAUACAAGUCAUGCACUAAGUUCUUCAUCGGUGCUUAAAUAUAUACCUGGAGAUAACAUUUGCUAAAACGCGGGGAGCUCUGGGCUAGACGAUCAUCUUCUACACCUCGGGCACCACGAUAUCUGGACACUGGCACCCUGGCAGCACCGUGGACAGAGCCUCAGGAAACUGCACAGGAGCAAAGAUCAGCACCAAGGUCAGAGGUGAGCAGGAGCUGACUUCACGCAGGGGCAUGUUGGGGCAUGUGUGUUAAUCCCCGUUGUUUUUCUGUGUUUUCCGCAGUAAGGAGACGGAAGGCUGGACAGCCUGGUUGGACCUAUUGAACCGAUCCCUCAAGAGAGGAAGAACCUGUUUUGGCCUCAUUUUUUUUUUUGACCUUAUUUUUGUGCAGCCACUCGUGCAUACGAGUGCUAUCAUUUCACCCACAGCCGUUGGUUGCCACAACGAACAUCUUCACUAUCAGCCUGAAUGCACUGUGUCUCUGCGUGAGGGAUCACAGACUCUCUGUCCUCUGAGUAGUAUUGACCUAAGAUUAAAUAUUAUUUAUGUUUCCCCAACAGCGUGCCACCAGUUCUCAGAUUGCUUUUCCUUUGUUUGAGACUGGGAUAUUUAAGAAUGGACUGCUGCUGAUUGUUGCGACCAACUUGAAUGACAUUUUUAUAGUGUUUGUUGUGGUUGCUGCUUUUUUGGCAACACACCUCCCUUUUAUUACCUCAUGCUGAGAUGUUGAUCUGUGACUUAAAAUAACUUUCAGUAUGGAUUUCUGGAGCUUAGAGAAGCGGUGUUGGUUGUGUAUCAUAGAUCACCUUGGUUAAAGUGAAAAUCAAUUUUCAUUUUAACACAAAUUCAAAUUUGUUGGUAGUGGAUAAAUUGAUUCUAUCUCCGAUCUGAACUUUCAUAUAAAGGAUAUACUAUUGUGGCUCAGUGGUAGAGAAGGGUUGUCCUUUUACAAUUUGAGUAUCAGUGGUUCCCUGCCUGGUUGUUCUGGCUGCACCCCGACACCAGAUGGUCAGACUCCCACCUGUAGGCAGACUCGUCCCCACCAGAGAUCAGUCCAAAGAGGGUGGUGGCAUCUGCAAACUUCAGGAGCUUGACGUAAUGGUGACUGGAGUUGCAGAGGGGAAUGAACGCAGCCUUGGGGGAAACCUGUGCUGAUAGUCUGGGAGGCUGAACUACCCAUUCAAACCCAUUUUGGGUUAUGAGUAUGGCCUUUGGGACCACACAUCAACAUGGACUGGCAAAGGCAGGGAACCACUGAUCCUCAAAUUUUAAAAGGACAACCGUUCACUAACACUGAGCCACAGUCGCCCCAACAGUAUAUCCUUUAUAUGUUUAUAAGUUCAGAUUGGAUUCUCCAGCCUCACAUGCUGCUUCCUAUUGUACAGGAAGUUUGUGAUCCACUUGCAGGUCGAGUCGGGCACGUGCAGCUGGGAUAGUUUGUCCUGCAGGAGAGACGGGAUGAUGGUGUUGAAAGCAGAGCUGAAGUCUACCAAAAAAAGAUCCUUGGGUAGGUUCCUGGGGAGUCCGUGAUAACAGUUAAGCAUGCUGGAGGAUGUAGUGGAGGGCCAAGUUGACAGAAUCAUCCACAGACUUGUUUGCUCUGUAGGUGAACUGCAGGGGGUCCAGGAGGGGGUCAGUGUGG